UUUGAGAAAAGCCUCUAGUGAGUGUCGUGGCGGCCCGUACCCCAAACCGACUCAGGUGGUCAGGUAGAGAAUACCAAGGCGAUCGGGUGAACUGUGGUUAAGGAACUCGGCAAAUUGCCCCCGUAACUUCGGGAGAAGGGGGGCCUCCGCUGGUGAUCAGACUUGCUUUGUGAGCUGGUGGGGGUCGCAGAGGCCAGGGGGAAGCGACUGUUUACUAAAAACACAGGUCCGUGCGAAGUCGUAAGACGAUGUAUACGGACUGACGCCUGCCCGGUGCUGGAACGUUAAGGGGACCGGUUAGCGCACUUCGGUGUGCGAGGCUGAGAACUUAAGCGCCAGUAAACGGCGGUGGUAACUAUAACCAUCCUAAGGUAGCGAAAUUCCUUGUCGGGUAAGUUCCGACCUGCACGAAUGGCGUAACGACUUCCCCGCUGUCUCAACCGCAGACCCGGCGAAAUUGCACUACGAGUAAAGAUGCUCGUUACGCGCAGCAGGACGGAAAGACCCCGGGACCUUCACUACAGCUUGACAUUGGCGUUUGGAACGUCUUGUGUAGGAUAGGUGGGAGACUGUGAAGCUGUCACGCUAGUGGCGGUGGAGUCAUUGGUGAAAUACCACUCUGGUCGUUUUGAACGUCUAACUUCGGUCCGUGAUCCGGAUCAGGGACAGUGUCUGGUGGGUAGUUUAACUGGGGCGGUUGCCUCCUAAAGAGUAACGGAGGCGCCCAAAGGUUCCCUCAGCCUGGUUGGUAAUCAGGUGUCGAGUGUAAGUGCACAAGGGAGCUUGACUGUGAGACCGACGGGUCGAGCAGGAGCGAAAGCUGGGACUAGUGAUCCGGCGGUGGCAUGUGGAAGCGCCGUCGCUCAACGGCUAAAAGGUACCCCGGGGAUAACAGGCUGAUCUUCCCCAAGAGUCCAUAUCGACGGGAUGGUUUGGCACCUCGAUGUCGGCUCGUCGCAUCCUGGGGCUGGAGUAGGUCCCAAGGGUUGGGCUGUUCGCCCAUUAAAGCGGUACGCGAGCUGGGUUUAGAACGUCGCGAGACAGUUCGGUCCCUAUCCGCUGCGCGCGCAGGAGACUUGAAAGGAGCUGUCCCUAGUACGAGAGGACCGGGACGGACGAACCUCUGGUGUGCCAGUUGUUCCGCCAGGAGCAUGGCUGGUUGGCUACGUUCGGAAGGGAUAACCGCUGAAAGCAUCUAAGCGGGAAGCUCGCCUUGAGAUGAGGUCUCCCACCACGUGAGUGGGUAAGGCCCCCGGGACACGACCGGGUUGAUAGGCCGGAGGUGGAAGCAUGGUAACGUGUGGAGCUGACCGGUACUAAUAGGCCGAGGACUUGACCAC
Molecule: ribosomal RNA, 1340 nt
Filed under: metagenome
Description: bacterial LSU rRNA
Rfam family: Bacterial large subunit ribosomal RNA
Source: RNAcentral